Molecule: ribosomal RNA, 429 nt
Filed under: Gemmatimonadota bacterium
Lineage: Bacteria; Pseudomonadati; Gemmatimonadota
Description: Gemmatimonadetes bacterium partial 16S ribosomal RNA
Rfam family: Bacterial small subunit ribosomal RNA
Source: RNAcentral
UAGGGAAUCUUCGGCAAUGGACGAAAGUCUGACCGAGCAACGCCGCGUGAUUGAAGAAGGUUUUCGGAUCGUAAAACUCUGUUGUUAGAGAAGAACAAUGACGUUAGUAACUGAACGUCCCCUGACGGUAUCUAACCAGAAAGCCACGGCUAACUACGUGCCAGCAGCCGCGGUAAUACGUAGGUGGCAAGCGUUGUCCGGAUUUAUUGGGCGUAAAGCGAGCGCAGGCGGUUUCUUAAGUCUGAUGUGAAAGCCCCCGGAUCAACCGGGGAGGGUCAUUGGAAACGGGGAGACUUGAGUGCAGAAGAGGAGAGUGGAAUUCCAGGUGUAGCGGUGAAAUGCGUAGAUAUAUGGAGGAACACCAGUGGCGAAGGCGGCUCUGUGGUCUGUAACUGACGCUGAGGCUCGAAAGCGUGGGGAGCAAACAGG